This 764-nucleotide long non-coding RNA is filed under the name Volvox carteri. RNAcentral describes it as "long non-coding RNA (VCAR_LNC002694)". Lineage: Eukaryota; Viridiplantae; Chlorophyta; Chlorophyceae; Chlamydomonadales; Volvocaceae. The record is from RNAcentral.
AUGUUGAUGCUAUUGGCUGAUGGCACUUUCUGCGUGCAGGGAUGCAGGCCCUCGCGGUAGUGAGCAACCUUGACAAAAUGGCAAAGCCCCAGGGGGUAGCUUCGCUCCGGGUUUGUGCAGAAUGGCUUGCUUCCGUGAUGUGGGAAAGGAAGCCCUAAUGCUGAUUCGGCCCUCGCAGUGUAGCACCUCAAGCGCAUCUUCUCUGAAUACCAGCUUUGCUUCGGAAGCGCACCGCGAACUCCCCUACAUGCACCGUUCGAUGCCACGCAAUCCAUCCAGGAAUAAGUAUUCUCGUUAGGAUAAUUCCACACAGGGAACCCCGUGCGGCCAGGGCUCUCGCCUGCGGUACGGUCUAAUGAGGGAACCAACCCAACGGUUCCCACGACCGACCGACAUACAUGUUAGGUAUGUGUGGAAGGGUGCGACGUAUCUUGGAGUCUUUCCGCCCUCAGGAACGUGAAGGGUGGGGUUAUUGUCAUAUCCUGAACUACGCUAAGGAUUUGAGCUGUUGGUGACACGGUGCUCUCUAAGCUAUUCAUGAACGCGACCUUGGUGCCCUCUUCUGUUUUGCCUCUGCGACAGUCCCUACCUACUCACCAAGCAACGAAAGCGAGCUGUUAAUCUCUAAUUCGUCAGGCUGCAUGUUCUUCUUGAGCAACGAAAGGAAAUGCUCCUAAAGCCUCGGGGGAGCAAAAUGACAUUCAUUUGGAAUACAUCCGCAAAACGUUUGGGAUGGCAUCAUUAUCUCACAUCGCGUGCUGCUU